Cucumis melo (muskmelon) is the source of this 170-nucleotide long non-coding RNA. RefSeq lists it as uncharacterized. The record is from RefSeq and is a predicted model, not a curated record. Lineage: Eukaryota; Viridiplantae; Streptophyta; Magnoliopsida; Cucurbitales; Cucurbitaceae. The transcript is spliced from 2 exons.
AAAGAAUGAAAAAGACAAUGAAGAAAAGCAAAUGAAUGAAGUUUCAAAAGAAGCACAUCACCCAACCAUUGGAGAAUCUGAAGAACAGCCAAAUGAAAGAGAGUUAGAUGGAAAGGAGUUAAUGGAAACAAGCCUCAAAUUAGUUGAAGACAUCCUCAAAAUUCGAGAGG